RNAcentral lists this ribosomal RNA (253 nucleotides) under uncultured bacterium. Its description in RNAcentral is "partial 16S ribosomal RNA". It matches the Rfam family "Bacterial small subunit ribosomal RNA", at positions 524 to 776 of the family's 1533-position model. The record is from RNAcentral.
UACGGAGGGUGCAAGCGUUGUCCGGAUUUAUUGGGUUUAAAGGGUGCGCAGGCGGCCGUGUGUGUGAGGCGUGAAAGCCCGGGGCUUAACCCCGGAAUUGCACCUCAAACUACAUGGCUAGAGCAUUGGAGAGGGUAGCGGAAUUCACGGUGUAGCAGUGAAAUGCGUAGAUAUCGUGAGGAACACCAGAGGCGAAGGCGGCUACCUGGACAAUUGCUGACGCUCAGGCACGAAAGCGUGGGGAGCAAAAGGG